RNAcentral lists this small RNA (186 nucleotides) under Mycobacterium leprae. Its description in RNAcentral is "c-di-AMP sequence". It matches the Rfam family "c-di-AMP riboswitch aptamer (ydaO/yuaA leader)". Rfam says of the family: This family represents a conserved RNA structure found upstream of the ydaO and yuaA genes in Bacillus subtilis and related genes in other bacteria. The ydaO/yuaA element is thought to act as a genetic "off" switch for the ydaO and yuaA genes in its native state. The record is from RNAcentral. RNAcentral also lists the same sequence under 1 other name. Lineage: Bacteria; Bacillati; Actinomycetota; Actinomycetes; Mycobacteriales; Mycobacteriaceae.
UAGGCGGGGACGCUAACCGUGGAUAGAGGCGGGGCACCCACCCCAGUCCGCCAACGAUCGGGCCGGGGCCGUGCGCGGCCUUGGGGUCAAGUCGACGCCGUUUUCCUGAUGAUUACGACGUCGGCGGGGCAGCCUCUCCAACCCGAAUCCGACAGCUGACUUCGCAAGCGCGUAUCGAGAGGAAUA